Molecule: ribosomal RNA, 439 nt
Filed under: uncultured bacterium
Lineage: Bacteria
Description: partial 16S ribosomal RNA
Rfam family: Bacterial small subunit ribosomal RNA
Source: RNAcentral
CCUACGGGAGGCUGCAGUGGGGAAUAUUGCACAAUGGGCGAAAGCCUGAUGCAGCAACGCCGCGUGAACGAUGAAGGCCUUCGGGUCGUAAAGCUCUGUCCUCAAGGAAGAUAAUGCCGGUACGUGAGGAUGAAGUCCCGGCUAACUACGUGCCAGCAGCCGCGGUAAUACGUAGGUGGCUGGCGUUAUCCGGAAUUACUGGGCGUAAAGUGUGCGUAGGUGGUUUCUUAAGUCAGAGGUGAAAGGCUACGGCUCAACCGUAGUAAGCCGUUGAAACUGGGUAACUUGAGUGCAGGAGAGGAGAGUGGAAUGCCUAGUGUAGUGGUGAAAUGCGUAGAUAUUAGGAAGAACACCAGUUGCGAAGGCAGCUUACUGGACUGUAACUGACACUGAGGCACGAAAGCGUGGGGAGCAAACAGGAUUAGAUACCCGUGUAGUC